Molecule: microRNA precursor, 86 nt
Filed under: Medicago truncatula (barrel medic)
Lineage: Eukaryota; Viridiplantae; Streptophyta; Magnoliopsida; Fabales; Fabaceae
Description: MIR2617 microRNA precursor family
Rfam family: MIR2617 microRNA precursor family
Source: Rfam by way of RNAcentral
AUGUAGUGUGACAUGCCCGUUGGGUUAUUACUCUAAUGAAUUAUUUAUUAUUUAAUUGAUUUUUGGGAACGGGGUGUUACAAUUGG